GUGAUGUGUUUAAUACACUAGGUGUAUUAUUACCUAGUGUGAGAUGUUAGAGCAACACUGAUUGCUUUGCUCUCCCCUGGUCUAAUUGCAGCACCUCAAGCCAGAAACCACACGUUCACAGUUCAUGCUCUAAUGUGCAAGACAGGGACUAGUAAAUGGUCUGUUGUGCUCUGAGUGUGUUGUCCUCUCUGGUUUUGUAUGUGAGGUUGCUGUGGAGGCGAGCUGCCUAGGAUCUUUGCAGAGAAAAGCAUAAUUUACCUUGAACUCUCUCAGUACUGUGUGGUACUGUGACAGGGAGGGCUGCUAAUGAUGCAAAACCCUGCCCACAGCCUUGAUCUUUACAAGUUGGCUGCAUGCACACACAUGUGAAAUGCUGCUUCAGCUGUUUUUUUAAUGAGGGGAGGGAACCCAAGAAUGAAGAGGGCUCACUUGCACACCCCUCUGCCAACAUGCUGCUUCGUGAGACCUGAAGGCUAUUGCAGAGCAUUGGAGUUGGACACAAAACCACUUGAAACACAUCCCUUAUCCCCAGACAGUGUCUUUUCUCUGCCUUGUCCCAUUUUCCUCUAUCUGUAUGAUCCUGCAGGAAACCAAUCCCUGAGACCAUAAGAUGAAGCUCGGAGGCAGCUCACCUCGACCUUGGUGUCAGUGGUAUCUUUGAGAACAACUCUAAAAGGUGAAAGCUCACAUGGUGUCUCAGUGUUGAAGUGGCAGGCAAACAUGGAGUGGUUGCUGCACCACCUCAGAGCCUGAACUUACUAGUGCAGGAAAUCCCUUUGCAGUGCCUGCCCUGCGCCACCACGGCUUCAGCAAAAGGCCUGUGCAAUGUCGGCAGAGGAUGUAACUGGGGGAAACAUGCUCUGAGAAAUGUUCUUAUAUAUAGCAGAGAGGAAAGGAACAGAGAAGUAAGAAAAAGGUUGCGCUGUGGUUUUCAGGCUCCCAUUGCCCAAUUGCCUUUGCACCGUGAGGUCCUUCUGCCACGUGCCCUGUGCCUUCAUCAGGGGUGUGGAAGAAAAGUAAUGCUGAUGCUUUACAGGAAUAACCUCUGAGCCACACUACAGCAGCUUCAUCUUCAAGAAACAAAGUGAGAAAAAAGAUAAAUAAGUCCAGUACAGCACAGUUUCAUGCACUGCUAAGAUCUGUGAGUGUUCCAGCACAUGGGCUUGGGUAUUGUCAUGCGUCUGGUCCAUCGCAGCAGGAGAGAUCCAUCUAGACCAGGUCAGCCAGAGAGCCACCGUGAAGGGAAAGCAAACUUUAAAAGUAAAUGAGAUGAGUCAUGUUGCCUGUUGGCAUAAAUGCAAAACAUUUAGGAGCAGGAAGCAUCUUUGUUUUUGUGCACGGGAAUGUGCUUCAGGUCAGGUUAUCACUGAGGUACAUUUCUGGCCAGCAAAAUAAGGGCUUGCUCCAGCAGCAAGACCAUCCUGCCUGUCAAGGAGAAGCAAUUUCAUGCAGUUCAAUGUCAGGUACCCAAGUCUUUGCUUUUCGUAUUUAGCACUGUAUUUAACAACACUGAAUCUGAAACCAGAAUCCUGCCACCUACUGCUAAUGGAAAUUCCAGAUGUGUUGUGUGCACAGCAGUCUCAACCCUAAAAACCUUAAAACCCUCAAAAACCUCACCAAAGCUCUCUGGGACUGGUCAGCUCUGCACAGGCUGGAAAAAAUAUCUGUGAGCCAUCUCAAUUGCCCUACUGGGACCUUGAGCCGAUGUAACGAUGUCUGUGGCAGCGCUGGCUUUCUUGGAGAACAAAGUGCUGUUUCCUUUUGCGCGCUGAACAAACAAACAGUGUGUGGGAAUUGGUUCCUACAGCAAUCCUUUUCUUUUUUUUUAAUAUUCAAGUCACUUUUUUAAGUAACUUUUUUUAAACUGACCUGUUUAGUGCUUGGGAAUGCCUGUGACUGCCUUCUGAAACUCAAAAACUGCAGAGGUGUCCAUGGCAAGAAUAGAAGACUAUUGCAAUGAUACCAGGGAUGGUUCUGCAGUUAAAAUUAAGCACAGAAGUGUCUGAAAACUGUCAGUCUGCCUAGUGCCAGAAUUCAUUAUGAAUUUGGUUUUUAAUAUAGUUUAGGGUAGAAAUCAUCCUAAUUAUCCUUUCUCCUUUAAUUAAAUAAGAAGUUUGCCAUUAGCCUCUGCUUCCCAAAACAUUAGACUCAUGUUUUGGAUUGAGCUUCUUGUGCCUGGGAAACGGGAGAACUGAAGAGAAACUGGGGAGAGAGACAAAGAGAAGACUGAAGGCAGGCUGUCACACAGGAACCAGGAGAAGGUAUAUUCUGUCCCUCCCAUCCUGUGGGGAUCCCAGAUGGCUGCUGUGUCAGCUGAAGUCACUCUCUGCUCUGUAACCUCUUCCUGAAGACUAGAGGAUACAGGUUCAACAGCCAGAAGCCUUCUGGGAAACUGCUUGAGAGUCAGCAGGUACCCAGGAGGUGAAAGUGGCUUUUCUUUGUAUUUAAAGUAAUACAUUUAAAGUGUAAAGUUUUCUAUUUUUCUCUAAAUUAAAGCUACUUUCUGUUUAAACAUUUACAAGUCUUUCAAGCACAUACCUCUGCCACAUACAAAUGCGUCUGUCUUAGAAAUCCUUGGAAAUACUGUAGUCUGUGUUUUCCAUAAUCCUUCAGAAAAUCAACUGUUCCAAGGGCUUACAGCUGGAGUAAUUUAACAGCCGUGCUGCAAAAAUGGCAAGGUAAGCAGCCCAGCAGAAGAUACAGUAGCCAAAACUCUUAUCUCAGGACCCACUGCUCGGAGAAUUGCAUCAGCUUCCCCUAGUAAAUAAUGAGUCUUAUUUAUAAAUUCACAUACAAUACAGAAAGGAAGCUUGUUGCACUAUUGUGGAGAUCAAAGAUUCAACGUGGGUUUUUUCCUCCUUCUCCUGUUUAGAGAACUAAAGUCAGUUUGUAUGUAUCUGUGUCCUUCUUCUUAUUGCUGAGACCAGCACAGUUGAUAGCCUUGGGUAUUUUUUUAAAGCUGCUUCUAAAGAUAAACAUUUUGCAAAAAUUCCCAGAAUGCAAGUGCUCAACUUAAUUUGCCCAGAGCUGUACUAUUUGUUGGCAGGCUGCUCCUUUAGAGGGGGUUUUAAGUUCCAAUUCGAUGUAUCACAUAUUAAUACAAAAUGAGAAACUUUUUCUGUGGUCAAGGGUGAAAUCCCUGCCUUACUGAGGUCCAAAGAAACAAAACUUUUAUUGAUUUAGUUCAAUAAUAUUCAGAGGCUAAUCCCAAAUCUCCUGCUCCCUUAUUAAGAACCAUUCUAUCACUGAAAAAAUAUGAACAAAGUUAUACAGCCUAAUCAAAACAAUCCCCAAAGUGCCUGAGCACACUCACAACAGCUUUUAAACUUGGAUUGUCGUUAGUUUUUCAAUGUCAGUUUGAGAGGCAGAGAGGAGAUGUUUUUUGUUAGCAUGCAGAACUCAGUCUGCCUUUUCUUUCAGGUUAUACUUUGUGAUGUGACAGACAACACACAGGUUCAUCACCACCUUCUUGGCUGCAGCAGGUAAUUUGUUCGGCUCCAUGUGUCAUGAUGACAGCUGCCAGACAGGAAUUUUCUUCCUCUCAUGCAAACAGUAGAUGUAUUUUCACUGGACAGGCUAGGAUGUUUUGAUCAAAUAUAAUACUAGAGAGAAAAAGAAAGAGAAAACAUAUAGUGUGUGUAUAUAUAUACACUAAAGUCUAUAUAGUGUAUACACAUACACACCCAUUUAUAUGUACACACACAUCUAUGCAUAAAUGGGUUGCUUAACAGCCUAUAAAAAACGCCACCUUACUAUGAGUCUUAUGGGUGUUUUCUUCUACAGAAGCAAAGGGCUAAUCAGGAGAGGAAACAGGAGCUGAAUUACCCCACCCACCUCCAUAGCCCCUGCUACAGCCAUUUAUCACAAUGUUUCUCAACCUUCUUAAGUUGGCAGCUUUUUAGGACUUGUUUUUGCAACCUUUUACAAAACCUAUUAAAAAAUGGUAUAAUAACAAAGUAACAAUAACACUUGUCUUAAGCACAGGUGUGGUAGGGACACAUGGGAGUUCCCCAGACAGUCAUGGGCUGUCAGAUCUGGCUGCGGGACAGAAAAAGAUUAACUUUGACCAGAAAUGUUGUAAGUAUUCCAGAGCAAAACAAAUUUAGGGGAGUUCAUGGCCAGCACUGUGCAGUCUGUUAAGGUUGUAUUUCCUGAAUAUUGAUUUUGUCAAUUUAAAGUGAGUUACACUCAAUGAAAAAUAGGUACUGGUAUCAGAAUUGCCAUCUUUUAAUAUUUAUAUUUAAAAAAAUGAAAAUCUCCAUCUUAUUACAUCAGAAUAAAUAAGAGGUGGACAGAAACAGUGUGAAAAUGACUGUAAGAAUUUUUUUCGCCUAGUCAGUGGAAAUUUAGUUCAUUAUUUGGUCUCUAAGUGCUAUUGAAACGAGAACACUUCUGAGAUGAUUUUAUUUGUCAGCCACAAACAUUUUCAGGUAAAAUCAAAAAUAGGAGGACAAAAAAAUGCAAGAUAGAUAUUGAAUAUGCAAAUAUUAGUAAGCAACUAUGCAAAAUAAAGGUAAAAGGAUUUAGAGUAAAAUUUAAUGUUUCAAGAAGUAUCUACAGAUCAUUGACUAAAAAAGAGACUAGCUAUAACCUGAAUUUAAUUCCAUAGACUUGACUUAUCUGAGGACUACUGUGAUACCUGUUUUCAUAUGGUGUUAAGAAAGCACACAGUUAUGUGUGUCCAGAUGAGUUAGCUUAAAUAUCAGUACACAUAAUAAUGCCAGCAAUUCGUAAUAUCACAGGCACCAACUGUUAAUAACCAACUGGUUAAUAACAAUGCAGGGGACUCAAAUGGUCACCAAUUCUGAACUGUAAGUCUUGGGAUAUUAACUAGAAUUAAUAUACCAGUGGGAUUUUUUAAAAAUAUAUUUUAUUAAAUUAAAGAUAUUUUAAUAUCUUGAAAUACUAAAUUCAGUGCCUCCAGAGGCAGAAAUUCAGAACCUCCAGAGGGAUUCAUUGUUUGGAGAGAGUUCCUCUGUAAAGUCAACCUGUUCUGCCAAGGCCAGACAGAACUACUGAACUCCCUGGGACUACUUUAGUAACACCACACAAGCAAGCAUAAACUGUAGGAGUAUCCGUAGCUGUCACUUAGAGCUACUUGAGACAUCAGUCCUAUAGAAAACCCCAGAUUCCCCUUGGAUAUACUCAGAUUUUACAGAGUGCAGACAAUAUUUUUCAUAUUGAAAUUUUACAUCAUCAGCUAUUUAUAUUUUCCCUUAAGCUUAAGCAAUUUUUACUGCUAAGUGUGUGUGUCCUGAGGAGACUUCAGAACCAUAACUUACACCUGAUGAAAUUUUUCCUGGCCCUUGCUGGAGAAGAGUGUAAUAAACCCAUUUUUGGUUAUCAUGUUGUUUUCCACCAUUCUCCUGAGUUUUGUCACAGCUAACACUCACUUCCCAUUGCUUUUUGAAUGGCUUCCUCCCAAACCCCUGUCCUGUUCUCUGCCUCCAGCUGAAGAGCAUUUUGGAGACAGGAAUCAGAGAAGGAAAGGUGUUUUUCUCCUCUGGAAGAGUCACUGUCUCUGAAAGUGUCUCUGGAUGUGGCACUUGGGGAUAUAGUUUAGGGGGAUUAUUGUGGUGCUGGGGUGAUAGUUGGACUAGAUGAUCUUGAAGGUCUUGUCGAACCCUGAUGAUUCUGUUAUUCUCAUUAAAAUGAAAGCCUAGAAAAUUAUUUUCUCAGUUUUAUGUCAUGAGAUUGAGAUGUUUUAUGUAGAUAUAGGCAAAUUUCAAACACUGGAAACCUAACUUGCAGCAGUGCACAGGUAAUAUCAUUUUGAUGGUCAUGGUCCUGACUGGAUUUCCUAUUUGUCCCAUUUAUUAGUUGUCCUGUGAUGGUCCCACAAAUAUUUCUGAAAUAAUCUCUCAAGUGUAUACCAAUUAUCACUGGCAGAAUUGCAAUAAACAGUUCUUAAUGGCCCAGUAGGUUUCUAAUCCAGGUUCAGUAAGCAAUUCCAAACCAAAACCAUUUCUCUGAAGGCAAGUUUAUUCUCUAAACAAGAUUUCCACUGAAAACCUUCAUGUUUAAGCAUAUUAAUUGUAGACCUCUUCUGCCAACAAAAUGAAGCAGGUUCACUCCAAGGAAUAGUUACGGUAAUUUAGACAACUACUGAAAACAGUUCUUAACAUUAUGGUUGUGAA
This is a long non-coding RNA of Neopelma chrysocephalum (saffron-crested tyrant-manakin), 6137 nucleotides long. RefSeq lists it as uncharacterized. The record is from RefSeq and is a predicted model, not a curated record. NCBI's taxonomy places the organism in Eukaryota, Metazoa, Chordata, Aves, Passeriformes, Pipridae. The transcript has 4 exons.